RNAcentral lists this ribosomal RNA (230 nucleotides) under uncultured bacterium. Its description in RNAcentral is "partial 16S ribosomal RNA". It matches the Rfam family "Bacterial small subunit ribosomal RNA", at positions 563 to 791 of the family's 1533-position model. The record is from RNAcentral.
AAGCGUGCGCAGGCGGUUUUGUAAGACUGUCGUGAAAUCCCCGGGCUCAACCUGGGAAUGGCGAUGGUGACUGCAAGGCUAGAGUUUGGCAGAGGGGGGUAGAAUUCCACGUGUAGCAGUGAAAUGCGUAGAUAUGUGGAGGAACACCGAUGGCGAAGGCAGCCCCCUGGGUCAAAAACUGACGCUCAUGCACGAAAGCGUGGGGAGCAAACAGGAUUAGAUACCCCAGU